This 494-nucleotide ribosomal RNA is filed under the name uncultured bacterium. RNAcentral's name for it is "bacterial SSU rRNA". It matches the Rfam family "Bacterial small subunit ribosomal RNA", at positions 903 to 1397 of the family's 1533-position model. The record is from RNAcentral.
AAAGGAAUUGACGGGGGCCCGCACAAGCGGAGGAGCAUGUGGUUUAAUUCGAUGAUACGCGAGGAACCUUACCUAGACUUGAACGUAUAAGUAAUAAUUUAGAAAUAGAUUAGCUAGUAAUAGACUUUUACGAGGUGCUGCAUGGUUGUCGUCAGCUCGUGCCGUGAGGUGUCAGGUUAAGUCCUAUAACGAGCGCAACCCUUACACUUAGUUGCCAGCAUGUAAUGAUGGGGACUCUAAGUGGACUGCCGGCGCAAGCUGUGAGGAAGGUGGGGAUGACGUCAAAUCAGCACGGCCCUUAUGUCUAGGGCGACACACGUGCUACAAUGGCCGAUACAGGGGGCAGCUACAUGGCGACAUGAUGCUAAUCUCCAAAGUCGGUCUCAGUUCGGAUCGGAGUCUGCAACCCGACUCCGUGAAGUUGGAUUCGCUAGUAAUCGCAGAUCAGCCAUGCUGCGGUGAAUACGUUCCCGGGCCUUGUACACACCGCCCGU